UUAAAGGCAGGCCACUCCAUCAAAUUCCUAUCAAUGCGGUUUUCACAAAAUUCCGAGGAUACUACCAAUCCUAAGGUAAUCAAGCUUUUACUUUAUGAGUCUAUUUUGUUUGAUCAAAAUCAUUGUAUAAAUAAUAAUUGCAUAAAUAAUUUUCUACUUGGUUUUUUUAUAGUAGACAGUAGGUAUAUCGCCAUAUACUUCGACGGCAGUGUAGUUUUAUUCCUCCUUAAUCUAUUCCCUAAUUUUCACUUUCUCAUUCGCCAUCAAAUUAUUAUCCAACAAACACAAUGAAGAAUCCCUUCCUCACUUAAAACAUUUGAAAGCCGACCUCCAUUUGUCUUCUAAGCGAAGGAAAUUUUUCGAUGUACCCAAAAUACUCAAUAUAAAACUUCCAUUCUCAAGAUAGCAUUUAAAUAUGAAGUUGAGUAUAUUUUAAUUUUUCAGUUGAGUAUAGGAAGACCCUUUCAGAGUUGAAUAUCAGACAUUUUUUGUUAGCUUUAAAGGACAUUUUCAUGCAAUUGCCUAAUUUAUUUAUUUUUCAGAAAAAUCUCAUAAGGAAGAUAACCUUAAAUGUUAAGUUUGCCAGCAUCAUUAUUUCUAAUGAGCUGGGUUGUGCUCAUUCUAAAAUUGAAAUUUUUAUGAUUUGGAAGUACCAAAGUAGGUUAGUGUUGAUGAUUAUUGUUUAUAACUAGGUCUUGAGAUUACUGAUAAAUUUACAUAUUAAGCCUUACAAUGGUGGAUUAGUUUAGAUAUUAAUUACAUAUUUUAUGAUAUACAUGAAACUGCUUACAUACAAGGUAUAAUUGAAGAAGAUUGUGAAGAAGGUAUAUUAGACUUUUUGUAUUGGCUUAUCUAUAGAUUUCUGUAGAUAAGCUUCAAUUGUAUUGGCUUCUACAUAUACUAGAACUUUGUCAAACUAGGUAAAGUUUUUUUGUAAAACUGUCUUUGGUUUUAUUAAAUAGAUGUGUAUAUAUGUACUUCAAAACAGGUUAGAUAUAUGAGAAGAAGACACAGAGUUAUGAAACCUACUCCUGAUGAUAAUUUAUAAGCAAAAUUUGGACAUCUUGACUUGAUAGUUCCUUAGGUGGCCAUUGUAAAUUAGUACUCAAAUGACUUGGACAGUUUGAAUGCAGUUCUUUUUUUUUUUUUUUUCUUAUUUAAAAAUCGAAAAUAUUAUAUGUAAUACCAUGAACUUGAUUGAUGUUGUCUUGGUGCAUCUUUUGGAAGCCAAUCUGUUAUGAUAUCCGCAUACAAUAGGAAUCCAUUGAUAAAAAUGCCAAUUACAAAAAUUAAGGUCUUCAUAUGUUGAAUAUUUAUCCAGGUUGAAACUGGGGAUGUGAAAAACCACUUGGUGAACCAUUUUGAGUGAAUGGCAUACCGGCCAAUGAAUAUCUAGCCAUUUGAUUAUGUUCGAUAAAACACUGAUAUAGGAGAGAUAGAAGACAGGCAGGUUUAACGGUAUGGGAUGUCAAAAACGUGGUUGCUAUGAAAUAUUUGCAAGGUUGUCAUUUCUGAAGGUAUUUAUUUUAAAUUGAAAUUAUCAUACUAUGAUGGUGAGAUUGUUGAAUGUGUUAAUAUGAUAUCAUGAUUAAUAUCUAAUAAAAUUUUGAAUGUUUCAAUUUUUUCUUAUCACGAGAAAAACGUAUCGACACUAAGAAACUCUUCAUUGCUAUAGGUGUUUUUUCAUAGAAUUAUAAAUGUUCCUUAUUUGAAAUCACCCUACAUAUUUUCGAAAUUUCAAUUUUAAGUUAACUGGUUUGAUAUUGUAAACCAAGUGAGGUAUAUAGGGAGGAGAUAUCUUUACUAUCCCAUGGCAUACAAAAGAACUUUAUAUGCAUUGGAUGUCUGGCAUGCUGAGAAACUCAUAUUUGAUGAUGUUAGGAGUUGGGACAACAUUUUGGCUAAGCCAUCAAUUGCCUAAUAGUCUUCUGAUUCUAUCAUUGUCUUUUAAUAUGGAUUUGUUCCCUAUUUUUGUUGGCAGCACCUGCUCUGCCAGUACAAGU
This 2003-nucleotide long non-coding RNA is filed under the name Aquilegia coerulea. RNAcentral describes it as "long non-coding RNA (ACOE_LNC000873)". The record is from RNAcentral. Lineage: Eukaryota; Viridiplantae; Streptophyta; Magnoliopsida; Ranunculales; Ranunculaceae.